This 253-nucleotide ribosomal RNA is filed under the name uncultured bacterium. RNAcentral describes it as "partial 16S ribosomal RNA". It matches the Rfam family "Bacterial small subunit ribosomal RNA", at positions 524 to 776 of the family's 1533-position model. The record is from RNAcentral.
UACGUAGGGGGCUAGCGUUGUCCGGAAUCAUUGGGCGUAAAGAGCGCGUAGGCGGCCCGGUAAGUCCGCUGUAAAAGUCCAGGGCUCAACCCUGGAAAGCCGGUGGAUACUGUCGGGCUCGAGUCCGGAAGAGGCGAGUGGAAUUCCUGGUGUAGCGGUGAAAUGCGCAGAUAUCAGGAGGAACACCAAUGGCGAAGGCAGCUCGCUGGGACGUGACUGACGCUGAGACGCGAAAGCGUGGGGAGCGAACAGG